GUUGUAUGGUUAAGUGACUAAGCGUACACGGUGGAUGCCUUGGCAGUCAGAGGCGAUGAAAGACGUAGUAACUUGCGAUAAGCCCAGAUUAGGUAGUAACAACCAUUUGAGUCUGGGAUUUCUGAAUGGGGAAACCCACGUGCAUAAGCACGUAUCCUUACCUGAAUACAUAGGGUAAGGAGGCGAACCGGGGGAACUGAAACAUCUAAGUACCCCGAGGAAAAGAAAUCAACCGAGAUUCCGAAAGUAGCGGCGAGCGAAAUUGGACUAGCCCUUAAGCUUUAUAGGCGUUAGGUGAACAAGCUGGAAAGCUUGGCGAUACAGGGUGAUAGCCCCGUAACUGACGACGCAUAUUCAGUGAAAUCGAGUAGGGCGGGACACGUGAUAUCCUGUCUGAAUAUGGGGGACCAUCCUCCAAGGCUAAAUACUACUGACUGACCGAUAGUGAACCAGUACCGUGAGGGAAAGGCGAAAAGAACCCCUGUGAGGGGAGUGAAAUAGAACCUGAAACCGUGUACGUACAAGCAGUAGGAGCAGGCUUUGUCCUGUGACUGCGUACCUUUUGUAUAAUGGGUCAGCGACUUAUAUUCAGUGGCAAGGUUAACCAUCUAGGGGAGCCGUAGGGAAACCGAGUCUUAACUGGGCGUUCAGUCUCUGGAUAUAGACCCGAAACCAGGUGAUCUAGCCAUGGGCAGGUUGAAGGUUGAGUAACAUCAACUGGAGGACCGAACCGACUAAUGUUGAAAAAUUAGCGGAUGACUUGUGGCUAGGGGUGAAAGGCCAAUCAAACCUGGAGAUAGCUGGUUCUCCCCGAAAGCUAUUUAGGUAGCGCCUCGGACGAAUACUACUGGGGGUAGAGCACUGUUAAGGCUAGGGGGUCAUCCCGACUUACCAACCCUUUGCAAACUCCGAAUACCAGUAAGUACUAUCCGGGAGACACACGGCGGGUGCUAACGUCCGUCGUGGAGAGGGAAACAACCCAGACCGCCAGCUAAGGUCCCAAAUUACUACUAAGUGGGAAACGAUGUGGGAAGGCUCAGACAGCCAGGAUGUUGGCUUAGAAGCAGCCAUCAUUUAAAGAAAGCGUAAUAGCUCACUGGUCGAGUCGGCCUGCGCGGAAGAUGUAACGGGGCUAAGUAGUAAACCGAAGCUGCGGCAAUAUACUUUUGUAUAUUGGGUAGGGGAGCGUUCUGUAAGCGGUUGAAGGUGUGUGGUAACGCAUGCUGGACGUAUCAGAAGUGCGAAUGCUGACAUGAGUAACGAUAAAGGGGGUGAAAAACCUCCUCGCCGGAAGACCAAGGGUUCCUGUCCAACGUUAAUCGGGGCAGGGUAAGUCGACCCCUAAGGCGAGGCCGAAAGGCGUAGUCGAUGGGAAACGGGUUAAUAUUCCCGUACUUCUUACAAUUGCGAUGGGGGGACGGAGAAGGCUAGGUGGGCCUGGCGACGGUUGUCCAGGUUCAAGUGCGUAGGCUGAGAGAUUAGGUAAAUCCGGUUUCUCUUAAGGCUGAGACACGACGUCGAGCACCUACGGGUGUGAAGUCAUUGAUGCCAUGCUUCCAGGAAAAGCCUCUAAGCUUCAGAUUGUAAGGAAUCGUACCCCAAACCGACACAGGUGGUCGGGUAGAGAAUACCAAGGCGCUUGAGAGAACUCGGGUGAAGGAACUAGGCAAAAUGGUACCGUAACUUCGGGAGAAGGUACGCUCUCGACGGUGAAGUCCCUUGCGGAUGGAGCUAUUGAGAGUCGCAGAUACCAGGUGGCUGCAACUGUUUAUUAAAAACACAGCACUGUGCAAAAUCGUAAGAUGACGUAUACGGUGUGACGCCUGCCCGGUGCCGGAAGGUUAAUUGAUGGGGUUAGACUUCGGUCGAAGCUCUUGAUCGAAGCCCCGGUAAACGGCGGCCGUAACUAUAACGGUCCUAAGGUAGCGAAAUUCCUUGUCGGGUAAGUUCCGACCUGCACGAAUGGCGUAAUGAUGGCCACGCUGUCUCCACCCGAGACUCAGUGAAAUUGAAAUCGCUGUGAAGAUGCAGUGUACCCGCGGCUAGACGGAAAGACCCCGUGAACCUUUACUACAGCUUGGCACUGAACAUUGACCCUACAUGUGUAGGAUAGGUGGGAGGCUUUGAAGCACGUACGCCAGUAUGUGUGGAGCCGUCCUUGAAAUACCACCCUUGUAGUGUUGAUGUUCUAACGUCGACCCCUUAUCGGGGUUGCGGACAGUGCCUGGUGGGUAGUUUGACUGGGGCGGUCUCCUCCCAAAGAGUAACGGAGGAGCACGAAGGUGGGCUAAUCACGGUUGGACAUCGUGAGGUUAGUGCAAUGGCAUAAGCCCGCUUGACUGCGAGAAUGACAAUUCGAGCAGGUGCGAAAGCAGGUCAUAGUGAUCCGGUGGUUCUGAAUGGAAGGGCCAUCGCUCAACGGAUAAAAGGUACUCCGGGGAUAACAGGCUGAUACCGCCCAAGAGUUCAUAUCGACGGCGGUGUUUGGCACCUCGAUGUCGGCUCAUCACAUCCUGGGGCUGAAGUCGGUCCCAAGGGUAUGGCUGUUCGCCAUUUAAAGUGGUACGCGAGCUGGGUUUAGAACGUCGUGAGACAGUUCGGUCCCUAUCUGCCGUGGGCGUUGGAAGAUUGAAGGGGGCUGCUCCUAGUACGAGAGGACCGGAGUGGACGAACCUCUGGUGUUCGGGUUGUGUCGCCAGACGCAUUGCCCGGUAGCUAAGUUCGGAAUCGAUAACCGCUGAAAGCAUCUAAGCGGGAAGCGAGCCCUGAGAUGAGUCUUCCCUGAUACUUUAAGUAUCCUAAAGGGUUGUCGGAGACUACGACGUUGAUAGGUCAGGUGUGUAAGUGCUGUGAGGCAUUGAGCUAACUGAUACUAAUUGCCCGUGAGGCUUAACCAUACAACACCCAAGGGGUUU
Molecule: ribosomal RNA, 2915 nt
Filed under: Vibrio parahaemolyticus
Lineage: Bacteria; Pseudomonadati; Pseudomonadota; Gammaproteobacteria; Vibrionales; Vibrionaceae
Description: 23S ribosomal RNA
Rfam family: Bacterial large subunit ribosomal RNA
Source: RNAcentral